This 71-nucleotide transfer RNA is filed under the name Phialocephala europaea. RNAcentral describes it as "tRNA-Cys". Lineage: Eukaryota; Fungi; Ascomycota; Leotiomycetes; Helotiales; Mollisiaceae. RNAcentral also lists the same sequence under 1 other name. The record is from RNAcentral.
GGGAUAUGCAGUAGACGGUUCUACGUUUUGAUUGCAGAUCUUAAAUAAGGGUUCGAUUCCCCCAUAUCCCA